Mesocricetus auratus (golden hamster) is the source of this 4358-nucleotide long non-coding RNA. RefSeq lists it as uncharacterized. The record is from RefSeq and is a predicted model, not a curated record. NCBI's taxonomy places the organism in Eukaryota, Metazoa, Chordata, Mammalia, Rodentia, Cricetidae. The transcript has 6 exons.
GAACUAUCUGAGGGGUGAGAGAGAUGUGGGGGUGGGGUGCUUGUGCUGUUAGAGGUAAGUCCAAACACAGGCAGGAGACUACAGCAUCACAAACAACGGAGGACACAGUCCAGGCUCAGCAGGGACACAUGGGGAAAUAGGAGCUGUAUUUUACAUGCAGAGUAGAGAAGGAGAGGUUAUGUGCAGCUGGGAUAAUGAGGUGGGAGAUCAGGAGGUGGAGAGAAGGGGUUGAUGCUCAGAAGGCACCAAGUAGAGAAAGCGGCCCUGGGCUGAAGUCUUCUCAUGCUCUCUGACAGAUGCUAAUUUGGGCCAUCCUGGCAAACGACAGAAGACACUGGAAAGCCACAGAGUGCCUUAGACAGUGGAAUAGGAGAAUUCAGCAGUAAUGAAAUGGAACACACUGACUGACCCUUCAUAGUAAGGGGCUGUAUCUGUGCAGAUGAGGCUGAGUUAAGCUGGCCCCUGUUUUUCAGGUGUAGACUCAUAGUGACAAUACAGUUUGAUGAAAGUGAACAGAGCUUGGGGAAAGUGAGAUGAGGCGAGGGAGCAACAGAGGAAGGCUGCACAGAAAAGGGCUGGUUGGUGGUCCAGAUCCCACAGGAUGCUGCUGCUCAGGGAAAAGGUAUUCCAGCAUGUACGCUGUACAGAGAAGACUGUAAAACUGGUUACACUGAAUGUUCAGAAGAAAGCUCCAGAACUAUGCUUUGAAGGUGACUUGUAUGGGAACCUCUCAGUAUCACAGUAAUGUUUAAAAGAGAAGAGAAACAAGCCCGAGGGAGAUGAGAUGCCUUGCCUGACCUUCAACGAUGUCACUUGGCCUGAAGGAGCUAAAACCCAGCAGUCCUCCAACAUGCUUAAAGAGCUCUGCACACUCACACAAGCCAUAUGAUUAUCCCUUGGGAAUAGACAGCACUUUCCCACAAGGGUGCAUUAACUGAAAUGGAAGUCUGCUGAAUAGGGAGCAACCCCUUUUUAUUUAUUUAUGUUUAAUGCUAAGCAGGGUAGCCCUGAUCAGCUCCUAGGGGGCUGUAAAUAGCAUCCCCUAACUUAUUAGCUGUCGAGAAUUAUAGAUCCUAAUUGGGAAGCUCCAGAAACUAACUGGCCUCAAAAAACAGUAUAAGUCUUUAUCUAGGAUUCUUCAGGAGAGACCACUUCCCUGGUUCCAUGAAGACAAAGGCUUAGGGAUGAAGAACUAAAAACAGCAACAAACUCAAAAGGCUGCAGUAGCCAGAACUAAAAAAGAAACAGCGGACAGGCUCCAAGACAAUACAGAGAAACCCUGUCUCGAAAAACCAAAAAAAGAAAAAAAAAAGAAAAAAAAGAAAUAGUGGGUGUAGCAACCUGCUUUAUGUAGCAGAGACAUGGUCCUCUUUAGCUAGCUCUUCAGGGUGAAUUCUGCAGAGGUGGUUUUUACUGUGGAUUCCUCUCGCACCAUUUGUUACAUGAGCAACAUGCCAGGAAGAAGAGAAGCUUGAUUCUGUGGGGUUCUGGAGUGUGAGCCGGCCUCAGACAUGUUCUACCCCAAUAUGAGGAUGCUGGGACUUCAUCUUUCACACCUGACAGUCAUCACUUAAAGCAUCCUGCAAAGAAAUCUGGCUGUAAAGGAAGUGAAGAAAAAACUAUCCAGUGAUUGACCUCCAGUCUCGGAGGGGUGGCAGUCUAUAGUUGGAAGCAGUGAGAGAAGAUGGGGUGGAUUCCAAGACACCUGAACUGCUGUGAUCUGUGCACCUGGACCUGUUCAGAGUUGAACAGAAAUGUUACUGGCAAUUAAAAGGCCAUUGUAGCUUAAAGGGGAAGCAGUGCAAUGAUUGGGAGUAUGGAUUCUGGAACUAGAUUCUGAAGCUGCUCGUAGGUCUCUUCUGUUUCUCAGUUUCUCCAAUUUUAGUAAAAUGGGGAUAAAUUAUGACUUCCUAAAAUUGUAAAAAGACACAUGCCUCUAGGAUGAUGGUGCAGUCCAAUGGUAGAGUAUGUACUUGGCAUGUAUGGGGUCAUGGAUUCAAACCUUAGGACCACAUACAUGCAAAGCCAUGAAAUAAAACAAUAAAAAUUAGUCAUUUAUAUGAACCAAUUCAUAAAACAUAUUGGAAGUGUUCCUGGCAUUGAGUAGUAAGACCAUUAUAAACCUUAAUAUAAUAUUUUUAUCCAUUUUAUUUCUUAUAGGCAUACCAAUGUUUUACAAUUGAGUACCUUCACACCAUCACAACAUCCAAGGUAUUUGAUUGGCCAUUUUCCAUAUUCUAAACUAUCCAACAAUUUUAAACUUUGGUAACUCUCCUUGCCAUUCACACAUAUCAUUUUUCCUGAACACUCCUUUAGAGACACUUUCCUUGGUUAUACUAUCCAACGUGCACUUCCUUUUACUGGCAGAGUCAUAUCAAAACCAUCAUAAGGAAAUGAAACAAUGCUCAGGAUUUAUUGCAAAAUAACUCAGGAUGAGAGGGUGGUAAACUGAGUGGUAAACUGCAGUGACACACAGUCUGCUCUCAUAUGUAGCAGUUUUUAAAGGCCCCCUUUGUGACACUUCAUUGUUGAGUUUAAUGGAUUUACAAUCACCAUGGAGAUACACUUCUGGGAGUUUCUGUGAGGAUGUUUUCAAAAAGGUUUGACCAAGGAGGGAUUCUGAAUGUGGGUGGUGUCAUUCAUCCAUGGGCUAGAGUCCUAGACUGAAUAAAAAGAUCAAAGGAGACAGCUAGUUGAGUACCAACUUGCAUCUUCCUGUUUCUUGACUGCAAACUCAACGUGACUAGUUGUCUCAUGUUCCUGAUGCCAUGCCAUUUCCACCACAAUGGACUGUACCCCCAAACUGUGAGCUAAAAUAGAUCCUUCAAUCUUUGCAGAAAAGAGUAAACAUCUUUAGAAAUAAACGUAUUAACAUUUUCCUUUUAAAAACGCUUUAAAUUCUCAUUUCACAUUACAUCAAUCAACCUAAGCUUUAGGUGCUGGGUGAAAGUCCAGAAACUUCUGAGUCCCUGAGUGUUAAUUAAUCAGGUGAAUUAGAGUCAAUAAAUGCAACUGUAUAGGUAGAUAACCUGCAAGGCUACCAUGGCCCUGAAUGAGCUUUGUGACCAUAGUUGAGAAUACUGCAGGUUGGAGAUCUCAGAAAUGAUGGCAGGUAGGGAUGAAGACAUAGCUUUCCUUUGGACAUCUAGGAUGAAAAGGCCUCUGGCAUCUCUUAGACACUGAAAGCCUGGAAAUGGUGUAGAGGACUGGGCAGGGGCUUCGUCACUUUGUUUGAGAUUACAGUCAUGUGUUUUAUAAUGAUGUUUCAGUUAAUGAUGGACUGCAUAUGGAGUCAUGGUCAUGUAACACUACAAUGGAGUUGAUGCAUUUCUAUUGCUUGGUUAUGUUGUAGUUGCCAUAGCAUCAUAUAGUAUUUAUAUUUUGUGUUGGUGAUAGAAAACAUACCAAUCAUAACACAGCAUAGCACUUACACAUAAAAUAUGAUACUUUAUAAUGAUAAAAAUUGACUGUGCCACUGAUUAAUGCACUUACUGUACUAUACUUUGCAUUAUUUUAGAAUGUACUCCAUUUAAUUAUGCAGGAACUUAACUGUAAGAUAGCAUGCUGUAUUAUGUGGGCAGCAGCCUCAUCCAUUUCUGUUUAUUGUAUCUCUUGAUUGCAUCAAACAGGUACAGCCAUAACUGAGCUACACCAUCCAGGUACACUCCAUAACAUUUUCAUGGUGAAAUGGCCCAACAUCACCUUCUGAAAAAUGUAUAUCCACCAGUAAGUUACUCAUGACUCUGGUCGGGCAUGGAAAGUUAAGGUAGUAGUGAAUGUGGCCUUUGGUGUUUUGUUUUGUUUUGAAAUCACAAGGAUUAGUGGAUAUCUUUGAGCUGUGAUGAGUUUUAUGGAGUAUCAGGCCUCUUGAGCAUAUAAGUAGUUUGUGACUUUAUAGUGGUCACUGAGUCAAAAGUGAGGCUCUAUACAGCUGACUUAACAAAGGCCGGCAUCACUGAAGAUGGACAGAGGAGGCUUUCCCCGAAUGAACAUGGGUAUAUUAGUGAGUGUUCUAGAAUCACACUGGGGAGACAGCUAGGUGCUGCAGGGGGUCUGAGGUCAGGUUGUGAAGACAAUUGAUGGGAACUGUUCUGAAGACACUACACAAGGGGACCUUUCCCAGGCCCAGGGAAAUGGGAGACAUCUUGGGAAUGACUCUCUGGAAUUGAAUCUUGUACAAUGACUGUGAGUUCAUAGUUGGGGAGCAGGAAGAAGAAAGGAAGAGACUUCACAUCCCUCAAAGAUGCAGAGUUGAGAAGCAGAACUUUGUGCAUGUGGAACCAUUAGCGUGGCACUUUGAUGGGGAAGUCCUGUGUAUAUGUCAAUAAAGAACUGUUGGCCAAUAGGGAAGCAAGAUA